UAACCUGCCCAAGAGAUCGGGAUAACACCUGGAACCAGAUGCUAAUACCGGAUAACAACAGAUGAUGCCUAUCAACUGUUUAAAAGAUGGUUCUGCUAUCACUCUUGGAUGGACCUGCGGUGCAUUAGCUAGUUGGUAGGGUAACGGCCUACCAAGGCGAUGAUGCAUAGCCGAGUUGAGAGACUGAUCGGCCACAUUGGGACUGAGACACGGCCCAAACUCCUACGGGAGGCAGCAGUC
This 240-nucleotide ribosomal RNA is filed under the name uncultured Lactobacillus sp. RNAcentral describes it as "partial 16S ribosomal RNA". It matches the Rfam family "Bacterial small subunit ribosomal RNA", at positions 122 to 355 of the family's 1533-position model. The record is from RNAcentral. Lineage: Bacteria; Bacillati; Bacillota; Bacilli; Lactobacillales; Lactobacillaceae.